This 77-nucleotide transfer RNA is filed under the name Clostridiaceae bacterium. Its description in RNAcentral is "tRNA-Arg". It matches the Rfam family "tRNA". From Rfam's summary of the family: Transfer RNA (tRNA) molecules are approximately 80 nucleotides in length. Their secondary structure includes four short double-helical elements and three loops (D, anti-codon, and T loops). Lineage: Bacteria; Bacillati; Bacillota; Clostridia; Eubacteriales; Clostridiaceae. The record is from RNAcentral.
GCGCCCGUAGCUCAACUGGAUAGAGCGUCUGGCUACGGACCAGAAGGUUAUGGAUUCGAUCUCUGUCGGGCGCGCCA